UCUUCUUGUAUUAAUAUGAGGUCGGGCCUGUCCACUGAAGUAUAUUUGAAGGMCCGCGGUAUUUUGACCGUGCAAAGGUAGCAUAAUCAUUAGUCUCUUWAUUGGAGGCUGGAAUGAAUGGUUUGACGAAAUAAUAACUGUCUCUAAAUAUAAUUGAAUUGAAUUUUACUUUUAAGUUAAAAGGCUUAAAUGAUAAUAAGGGACGAGAAGACCCUAUAGAUCUUUAURNUAUAAUUUAUAUUAUUUAUUAUGGUUGUUAAUAUUANUUAUAAUUUAUAUUAUUUUAUUGGGGUGAURUGAGAAUAUAAUAACUUCUUAAUUUUUAACUUUGAUAGAUGAAUAUUUGAUCCUUUAAUAUGGAAUUAAGAUUAAGAUACCUUANGGAUAACAGCGUAAUCUUAUUGAAGAGUUCUUAUUGAUAAUAAGGAUUGCGACCUCGAUGUUGGAUUAAGAAUAUAUAUUGGUGUAGAUGCNAAUAUUAUUAGUCUGYUC
This 492-nucleotide ribosomal RNA is filed under the name Lebinthus estrellae. RNAcentral describes it as "partial 16S ribosomal RNA". It matches the Rfam family "Bacterial large subunit ribosomal RNA", at positions 1862 to 2582 of the family's 2925-position model. The record is from RNAcentral. Lineage: Eukaryota; Metazoa; Arthropoda; Insecta; Orthoptera; Gryllidae.